CAUGCUGACCCUCUUAUAACAGAAUAAUACUAUGAAAGUGAAAAAGUUCUUUGAGCUUCUCAGGAAAGGGUCAUAAACUUCAUUUAUGGGUGAUCAUUUUUAGCAUGAUGCCAUGGUUUUUAAGCCAUUGUUUGCUAGCAGAUUUUGUGCACUGAUUAGAAGUAUGGCCCCUUUCUCCUGAUUCUUAGAAUUUAUCAACUUGCAGUGUCUUAUUUUCACUGGAGGAAACUGAGUGUUUCUUUCUUUGCUUCAGAUGGUCACAUCUUUAGAUCCUGAAGCAAGAGCUGCAGCCCAUCUCAGGAGUCCAAAUGCAGCGACAGAUUUUGCCUCUAAGCAAUCUGCCCCUGAACUGCCCUCGCUGCUGCUUUGGUAAAGGCUUGCAACGAAAGAGUAACAGCCACUGGCGAAUCCAGUUUGUGCAAGCAGCAUCAGCAAUGGAUGAGACCUCCCCUAGACUGGAAGAAGACUGGAAAAAAGGACUUCAGCGAGAAGCGAGCUGGCAGGUAAGUGAUGUCCUCAGCUCCAGACAGCCACAGAUCACUCUCUCAUCUCUUUCAGCCCAAGUCUGGGUAAUUCACAUCAGUCUGUUGGCACAAAUGUGUUGUCUCUAGGCAUAUCUUUUUGGGAAAAUCAUCAUUAGUUUCCAUUUCUUUGUAAACCAUGCAAAUAAUAUUCCAAAUGAAUUUCCUCUAGAUUCUUGAGCAAGCUAAUAGAGUUUUACAAAUCUAUAGAUGUUGCUAAAUUUAUACUUUCUUAAUAAAGGCCCUUGAAUUAACAAGUUGCAG
Molecule: long non-coding RNA, 785 nt
Filed under: Capra hircus (goat)
Lineage: Eukaryota; Metazoa; Chordata; Mammalia; Artiodactyla; Bovidae
Description: lncRNA (ENSCHIG00000007345.1)
Source: RNAcentral